CAGUCGACGACUCUGGUAUUGAUUGGUGCUUGCAUCAUGAUUUACAUUUGAGUGAGUGGCGAACUGGUGAGUAACACGUGGGAAACCUGCCCAGAAGCGGGGGAUAACACCUGGAAACAGAUGCUAAUACCGCAUAACAACUUGGACCGCAUGGUCCGAGUUUGAAAGAUGGCUUCGGCUAUCACUUUUGGAUGGUCCCGCGGCGUAUUAGCUAGAUGGUGGGGUAACGGCUCACCAUGGCAAUGAUACGUAGCCGACCUGAGAGGGUAAUCGGCCACAUUGGGACUGAGACACGGCCCAAACUCCUACGGGAGGCAGCAGUAGGGAAUCUUCCACAAUGGACGAAAGUCUGAUGGAGCAACGCCCCCGUGAGUGAAGAAGGUUUCGGCUCGUAAAACUCUGUUGUUAAAGAAGAACAUAUUCUGAGAGUAACUGUUCAGGUAUGGACGGUAUUUAACCAGAAAGC
This 466-nucleotide ribosomal RNA is filed under the name Lactiplantibacillus plantarum. RNAcentral's name for it is "bacterial SSU rRNA". It matches the Rfam family "Bacterial small subunit ribosomal RNA", at positions 59 to 491 of the family's 1533-position model. The record is from RNAcentral. Lineage: Bacteria; Bacillati; Bacillota; Bacilli; Lactobacillales; Lactobacillaceae.